Cyprinus carpio (common carp) is the source of this 1295-nucleotide long non-coding RNA. The record is from Ensembl. NCBI's taxonomy places the organism in Eukaryota, Metazoa, Chordata, Actinopteri, Cypriniformes, Cyprinidae.
GUCUUAAUUUAUGGGUUCUGUUUCUUAUCGUCAGUUUCUAGGAAGUCCAACGUUCACAAAGAAGCUCAAUGACACUGUUAAAGGAGUCAGCAAUUCAAGUGUGAUCAGUAAGUCAAGUGUGUCUGUCACAGUGUUGAAGAAGAGAGCUGGGCGAGUGUCAGAAUAAACAACAUCUGCUUCCUCUUUCUCAUCAAUCCUGCUUCGUUACAGACUCACACAGCAUCUCUGAACUGUUGGAUCUUGAGCAACAGAUAAAAUGGUAAGUUAUACUUCUAUUACUUAAUAUCAUCGCUAUGGAGCUAAGCAGCAUCACUAUUGCUCAUGUUGUGAAAUAAAAGCUUCUAAAAACUGUACACGCAAUAAAAUUUCAAAGAAUAUUUUGUUUUUAACAGACAGAAUGCUAUUUUAAAAUUCAGCGUUUUAUUGUACACAUACUUUGUAUAUGAAUCUUUAUAUUUGUGUGUGUUUGUUUCAGGUUUUCGCUGUACCUCAGAGAAUCCUCCUGAUCUGCCUGCUUCAGUUUUGCACUUGUGCAGUCGGUCAGAAUGUGGACCCCAAAACUCUCAUGAAUAUUGUAAAGAACUUUGAGAAUCAGUUGGGUAACAUGGGACAAUACGCUGUCGCCUUCAGUACUGAGAAGGACAACUGUCUUAAAGGUUCUGGCUAUCCAAGCAAGGACUUACUAACUAAAGUGAAAGAAAAACUUCAGCUGAAAGAGGUUUACGUGAGCGAUGACCUCAUUGCUGCAAAUCCGAAUGGAAAAGAUCAUUCAGAGUAUCGUCUGAAAAAUUAUCUGAAGAAUAUCUUGAAGGAUGAAAAUGAGUGUGUGGGUUUUUUCACCGUAAAUUCACCCUGUUUGAAAACAUGCCUAGCAGAAUCUGGGCCAUACAGCGUUAAAGACAGUCUUGUACUGUUACAAAAAUAUGUGGGUAUUAAAGCCUUUGCAUUCAAAAAAAUUUGGACACAUGAUAAAAAGGAGGAUGUGAUAAAGAGACUGAAUGAAAUUGCACCUAAUUUGCCAUAUUAUCAGUGUGAGAAAAACAAAGCUAGAUGUGACAGACUGUAAGAAGAGUAAUGCUUGACAGUUGCUUUCCUCACAUAUAGAAAGUUUUAUUAAGCUGAGGAUUUUUUUUUUCUGUUUUGAAUGCAGUAAACAUUAAAAUUGGUAGAUAAAAUCAAUCAUAUGUAAAAAAAAAAAAUCAUAAAUUUUGAAAGAUGACAAGUACUGUUAAAGUAAAUUAAUGUUAGCAUGUCUGCUUACUGCUGGAGUGAAUAAAAAUACAUUUUAUUGAGCA